AUUUUGAUCUUAGUUAAUAUUUAUAUGUGAUGUAAAUAUAAAUUAGAUAUGAUCUGUACUUACUGAAUUUUAGAUUUCAGAUGUGCACAUAUGUGUAUUAGUUUAUGUCAUAGAUUCUGUAUGAUGAUUUUAGAUUUGAUCUAUGUAUGCAUUGUAGAUUAAAUUAUUUAAUCUAUAUAUAUUACAUAAUAAAUUUUUUAAAAAUACAUGCACAUCACCCACCACGCUUCCCUUCAUAUGCUGCCACAGCCUUAUCUUCUUAAGAACACUGUCGGCUUCGAACUCAAGGAACGAUCACACCAA
RNAcentral lists this long non-coding RNA (303 nucleotides) under Elaeis guineensis (African oil palm). Its description in RNAcentral is "long non-coding RNA (EGUI_LNC053328)". Lineage: Eukaryota; Viridiplantae; Streptophyta; Magnoliopsida; Arecales; Arecaceae. The record is from RNAcentral.